Molecule: long non-coding RNA, 5416 nt
Organism: Crotalus tigris (Tiger rattlesnake)
Lineage: Eukaryota; Metazoa; Chordata; Lepidosauria; Squamata; Viperidae
Exons: 2
Source: RefSeq, a predicted model, not a curated record
CUGGCCAUGUCCACCCAGUAGGCCACACCCACCCUGGCCACACCUACCCCCCUCCCUGAGGACAACCGCAGUGCUGAUGUGGCCCUCAAUGAAAUUAAGUUUGACACCCCUGUUCUAGGAUAUCCUAGAAAUUGUCGUAGUGUAUGCCCCCCCCAAUAUUGAUCAUGUGCACACACUCUACCAUCCAGUACUUUAUAUUCCUAUUCAUGUAUCAGUGAAAGUGAAAAGUAUAUAAGGCAAACAUGUAAAAGUGGAUUCUAUGUCAUCACAAAAAAACAGUUCAUGCUUCCUUUUGUCUCAGAUAGUUUUUUUUUUAAAUUUGCUCCCAGACAGCUACGGUAUGACAGAGAAUAUUCAUUUAUUUUUAUCUUGUCUUUAUUUUUUAUCAAUAACUCAAGGUAGCAAACAUACUUAAUGCUCUUUCCUCUUCCUGUUUUCCCCACCAUAAUAACCCCACAAGGUGGGUUAUAAUCUAUAAAUGUUUUGUUUUCAAUGUAAAGUAUAUGCAUUUUUUACAAACAUACAGAACAUUACAGGUAACGGCACACAAUCUAGCAUGAAGAAAAAGCAGGCAAGAAAAAUGAGAAAGUAACAAUUAGGAGGAGUAAACAUUUAAAAAGAACAAAAACAAAGCAGCAUAUAUUUUCCACCUUAAGCAAUGCAUUAAAAACUCAGAAGCCUCUCCUCUGAUAAAACCAUUGCAAGAGCAAUGAAAAGGCAUAUAACACUAACUUAGCUCCAUAUUGAAUCCUGGUAGCUUCAGUCUAUGAGAUUGUAGCAGAUACCUCCUUGAAAACUCCAACUCUGUUGUGUUUUGGCUAUAAAAAAGGAAAACCCCAUAUUUUGAAUUAUUAGGAGGGGUUAGGGAAAUAACUGGAUAUGUAGAAUGCCUUCCCAUAGAUUUACAGAGAACAUAUUUAUGGAGCAGCAUUUUUUUCUUAAGAAUAUCAGGCAGCUGGAAAGUGUAAUUAACAACACAAUCUCUUAGAUGCUUAUUCAAAAUUAAUAGUGGGGUGGCUUUUGUUAGAAAUGGAAAGCUGAAGUAAAUGGAUUGUUCAUCGGAUCCAGCUGGCUGUUCUUGAAUUAUAAUUAAGGCUCAAGCAUCUGUGCUGCUUAUUAUAAAUAGACAGUAGAAGAGUGGUAGAUUUUGUGUUAGAAGUUGCUUCCAUGGGAAAGAAGUAGAGUUCUUAAAUAAGUAGAAAAAGCAAUGCAAGGAGAGCCUACUAUGAACUACAUCUCUCACCAUUGCUUACCAUUGGCUGUAGUGAUUGGGAUGCUGGGAGGUAAAGGCAGAAUCUGGUAUAAACCCAUUUGGUUGUUUUUUUUUUAAUGGAAUUUUAUAUAUGAAGAACAUGACAAAUGAAACUCUUUUCCGGGUUCCUUCAUAUUCUGAAGUAAUUGCACAGAAUGAUCUUUUUGAAUCUUGCUGUGUUGGUUGCGACAUAUCUUUAUAAAGGAUAUCAAGUAGUUUUGGAAGAACACAGACUUAGCUACCAUAUUUCUGACCAUUACACCAACUUCUGAAUUGACUUCUAAUGCACAGAUGCUCCUGGUGAAGAGUAAUCCCAUUAUCACUAUAUUUAUAUCUGGAAAGAAAGAUUGAAAACUCCCAGCUCUGUUGUGUUUUGGCUAUAAAAAAGGAAAACCCCAUGUUUUGAAUUAUUAGGAGGGGUUAGGGAAAUAACUGGAUAUGUAGAAUGCCUUCCCAUAGAUUUACAGAGAACACAUUUAUGGAGCAGCAUUUUUUUCUUAAGAAUAUCAGGCAGCAGGAAAGUGUAAUUAACAACACAAUCUCUUAGAUGCUUAUUCAAAAUCAAACAGUUUAAUUAAAAGCUGGCUGAUACCAUACAUACUUAUCCUACAUGAGAGUAAGGCUUCCUCCUCCAUUUAGCUCAUUCAAGUCAAAUCUUUUGUUGACGAUCUAAAGAAUAAACAAUGGUCAAGGCUUCCAGAGAAAGACUUGAUGGUGUUUCUUGUCUAACAUUAUUUUUUUCUUCCUGAUAAGAAAGGAAACAUCCAAGUUAGCAAGAUGAGAUGAGUUGUAUGCAUUUCUUUUCUCUCCAAUUACAGUAAUUGAAUAAUACAUCUAAUAUUUGAGGGUGAAUAGGCUUGAAAUUUUUGCUUAAAUAUAAAAAGAUUUUUUUCCAUUUAUUGUGUCUGAGUCUUGAAGACUGCCUGGCAAGUCCCUGCAGUGUACUUUGCAAGCUUUUUCAAAAGUGGCUUGCCAUUGCCUCCUUCCUAGGGCUGAUGAAGUGACUGGCUCAAGUCAUCUAAUUGGCUUCAUGCGCAAGGCAGGAUUAGAACUUGCAAUAUCCUGGUUUUUAACCUUAUGGCUUAACUGUUACACCAAACUGACUAUCCAAUUUGGUGAGCUUCCUUUGUAUUAUAAAUUUUUACAUUAUAAAGCUUCUUUUGUUUUAAUUAACUUUUAGUUUUUUUAUGUGUAAGGAAGGGGGAAAGAAUUAUUAAACAAAUGAUAUUCAUAUAAAUGUUUGCAAUGAAUUACUUUGGGUUUUUUGGAGCAUAGUCCCAAUAUACCACUCAAGAAAAAAGCAAGCAUGAAUCUUGGUACAUAAAAUUGUGCUCCCUAUUGUAAUGGUUACUUUUAUAAUAAAAGUUUAUUUUUAAUGAAAGAGUUAACUCCUAUCAAAUUUGCAUGCCGUGAAAAAAGCCCAGUAACUGCCUUUCAGACUUGGACAAGUAGAGCAGCACUUGCACGUAAGAAGAGAAAUUACGGUAUGUGGGGUUUUUUUUCUUUUGUGUUUUCUUUUGGUGAAGGUAUAUAUCAAAUCUGUAAUGUAUCAAAUAAUGUAUUAAAUUUAUAUUUAAUGAAACUUCACUGUGAAGGAGUGAAGGAAAGUUUUAAAAUUCUGGCUGAUGAGCUCUAUGCUUGUUUCAGACACAAAUGUGGCAUCUCAUUAAAUGGCAGCAAUGACUUUAUCCUAUUAUCUGCCUACUUAAAGAAAAAUAAAAGCAUGCAGAGUAACUCACAUUUUAAAAUGCAUAAGACUUUGUGACAGAGGCAGAAAUGCAAAUACUCUGUCAAGAGAGGGGGUCUAGGGCAACUCGACGGGGCCAUCUUGCCACAGGACAAUCUUUAGGGGAUAACUCAAUGUGAUAAACGUUAUCUGCCACUGUUUUUUUCUACAUUAUUUCCAUUUUUGUCAAUGAAAAUGUCAAAGAAACAGUGGCCGAUAAUUAUCGCAUUGAGUUAUUCCACAUGGAUUGUCUUGUGGCACAAUGGCUGAGUUAUUCCGUGAGGAGUUGUCCUGUGGCAAGUUGGCGUCCCAUUCAGUCAAGAGAAUGGAUAACUUUAGUACAUUCUAGAUCUUUUGGAUCUUUUUGCUGACUCACGAAUUCUGGGAGUUGAAGUCCACAGGUCAUAAAGAGACCAUAGCUUCCCAUCCCUCCCUAGAGCAUUGCCAUGCAAACUAGUGUUUAUGACAGCUUUUCCCAAGCUGGUGCUCAUCAUUGUUGGAAGGUGGAAAAGGGGGUAGGAACCGUCCCUCCAUCAAAGGUAUGUCUUAUGCAGCUGGGGAAAACCAUCUCCGUUCACCCUUGGUGGAACUUCUUUCAUCUUAGAUAAAAUUGAUAAGAGCCAGGUUCAGUCUUCAUGACCGACCAAAAUUAAGUUAACAGAAGCCAUUGUUUAGAAAAAGGCACUUUUUCCAAACAACUGGCUUCUAAAGAGGCAAUAUGCACAGCAUCAUGUACUUUCUAAUGAGAUAUAUUUGAUCAAUAAAACUCAUUGUUGCAAUUUCUUGGUUAACGCCUUCUAAAUCUGGUGCUAUGUAAUCAAAUAGAGGUCAGUACACGGAGAAUUCUGCAGAUUUGUCAUAAAGCAAAUUCAACACAAGUAUAUUUUGUUAGAGGUAGAAAAUUUUAUUUAAGAAAGUCAGAUGCUUUAUAUGGUGCAUUUGGCUUCUGUUCCUGCAUUACCUAUUUAUAUUUUCCAAAUAAUUCAUUUAAAGCUUGAGUGGAGUAUAAAUUUGGUUUGAAGUUAGAUAGCACUUAAUUCUUGUAACAAAUGGUGGACUUCCUAAAAACCAUGAACCUUUCCAGACCAUUCAGGCUUUCUUGGGUACUUAGCAAAUUUAUUGAAAUAGAAAAUAUUACCAUUUUCUGAUGUAGUAAAAUAAACUCACCAAAUAUAACAUUUUGUUGUAAUAUUGUGAUAUAAUGUCAUUAAUCCUGAUUUCCUACUGAGAAUUCAUUGGAAGGUUGGGUUCUAGUUUUUGAAACAAAAAUGUUAAAAAUACAUUGCAACUUUGCAGUUUUCCACAUUUCCACAUAACAACAAAACUACGAGUGUAUCCAAUUAACUUUUCUAAGCAUUCUGGAAAAUAAAUAGAACUAAAUCUCUUACUAUUUGAACAUCAUCACAUUUUUAUUUAAAAUUUACUUUCUGCAUACAGUUGGAUUAAGAUCUUGGAUCAGGUUUCUUUCUUUAAUGGCAACAAUAAUGAUAAAUGUCUUGCUUAUGCUGUGAAAUGUCCUGACAUUUCAGAAGUAUCAAAAGGGACAGCCAGAAGGAUCCCUUGGGGAUGCGAUGCUGUGGUGGAAACAGCUUCCCUUUCAUUUGGGAUAAUGGCAACGCCAGAAAGAUGACUUCAUCAUCCAGACCUGGGAAAAUCAGUGAUGUGGGAAAUGUGCCAACCUACUUGGGUUGCAGAAAGCUUUGAACCUGCUUGAAUGUUGCCAAGUAAAAAGGUGAGAACUCCCCUCUUGCAUAUCUAGACAAGCACUCAGAGAGGCAGACAAGUACCUUUCUUCCUGAUUAUACAGGCAGAGAAAACAUUUUUAUCUUUUUUUUUAAGGGAAUUUACCCUGAAGUGGUAUGAUCCCCAUUCUCCACCAUUUAUCAUAUGUAUCUUCUCAACAAUCUGUCUUUCCUCCAAGAAGGAGAUGUGUGUGUCCUGUGAUAGUUGAAGGAGAAAUAUUUAGGUCACUAGUCCUAGCUAGAGGUUAAUUAUGAUCAACUGCAAGACAGCAGCAAUUCCCUUGCCAAAUAACAUCUCCUGUCAGGCUUGUGGGUCCAUGUGUUAGGAGGAUGGUGGGGGUGAUACAUAGGUGCCAGAGCCUGUUCUGUGGACAUGCAGAUUAUGUGGAGCAGCCUAUGUGAAUAGACUGCUAUUACCGUCCUCCCACAAGUUUUGUCCUUGAGCUUAUCUUACUCGUUAGAAUUAAUGAAACAAACAGGACAUGUAACUGGGCUGUUGGCCUUCUUCAACAUAUUACCAUUUGAGUUGCAUGUUAAUUUAUAGCACAAUAGAGGUUUGCCAAAUGCCAGCUAGGUAGAAUAACCACAGCAAAGAAAGUAAUUGUUGAGAAACCACUAUGCUUUUUUAUUGGUUUAUGCCCUUUUGUGUUGUAAAUGGAUAGUUUCCCUUUAAAUAAAUACUGUUUUUGAAAAGUU